This 1448-nucleotide long non-coding RNA is filed under the name Homo sapiens (human). RNAcentral's name for it is "HSALNT0182586". Lineage: Eukaryota; Metazoa; Chordata; Mammalia; Primates; Hominidae. The record is from RNAcentral.
GAGCUAUUGAAUUUCAAGGGUGACUAUUUCUUCCUAUGUAGCGAUCAGGGACUGCUUCAUGGAGGAGGGGGCAUUCGAGGUUGAUACGACUUGAAUACCCAAGGCUGAGAGAUUCGGACAUGAUUCCCAGUCCCAAUCUCAGAUGCCCUGAGCUCCUUCACUCUUCCAAACCACAUUAUGGGGAAUCUGAUGAUUCUUGCCAGGUGAUGUAAUAGCUCUGGUGAUGAUCAGAUAUCAUCCCGCCUCUUAAUGACAGAGCACCAUCUUCUGAAGCCCUUUAAAGAUACAGUCUAGCUCAUGCCUCUGAAGUGAGCAGAGAUGGAUAAAGAAGCCACCUCAUAGACACAAAGGAACUUCUCAAAGUUCCAGAAUUGUUUGAGAAGAGAACCUGCCGAUCCUCUCAGCCAUGUAAUCCUUCUUGGAACACUCCCUCAUCUUCACCCACGUAGACUUGCACACCUACCCUCCAGAUGUGGUGGGAGACGCCUUUAUGUAACAUGAAUCUGUAUGAUGAAUUCUUGCUCAUAUUGAAGACAUGAAAUUCCUAUGAAUAGGACAUGUACUUUGAGUUCAUUAUCCCUAAAAGCAAGUCAUGGAUAUGCUUAAGUUAUCUGAGUGCUUUCCCUGGAAGACCAGUGGAAUGCUUCGGUGUCAAAGAAGACAACAGGAACCAUGAGCAGAACCACUUGGAACUGCAAACUCUUUGGGCCAAGGAGAGACUUCUUCUCCAGGUCUGGUUUGGUUCGCAAAUUCCUGGCUGUCAUAGCAACCUGAAAAGCAAAGGAAGACUGUUUAGUGUCGUCUUUGACUGCAGCCUGGGCUCGGAAUGCGCUCAGGUUGGCCCAGUAAACAGUGUUCACCGGUAACCACUCUGUGUCUCUCCCUCUGGGCCCAGGGAUGGGUGAGGCAGGGAGCUCACCAGGCUCAAGUCAUCUGGCCGCACAGCUUCUCACCUAGUGUCACUCAGCUCCCCUCUGCUGCUCUGUCUCCCAGUGGCUCUGCCAGAUCUAACAUGGGGAGGGAAUUUCCAGAAGAGGCCUAUUGGGAGAUGGAGUCAACUCCACAGUGGAAGCAAAUGCCUGCCGCCCACAUGAAGAUGUGUGAAGAUGACUUGGGGAGGGGGAGCCGACAGCAUUUCCAUGGUAACCUCAAGCAUCCCUGUGAAGUCAUCAUUGUGCUCUUCUGACCUAUUCAAACCCUGGCAACCAGGGCUGUUUAUCUCUAGGGAUUGAGUUCAAGAUCUAAAAAUGUGAAAGACCUAAACUGAAAUGAAUAGGCACCUCACUUGCUAAGAAGUAGGUCUACAAAGACAUGUGAUGUCAUGUUCAUUAAUCGUUACAUUGAUUGUUACAAGAUUUUUACACAUUUGACAACAAUUUACAGGCGAGUUUUUUUCUCAUUGCAAGAAUUCCUGAUUAUGCACAGUGAUUGCCGAGAAAUCAUUGUUG